CUGGAGCACAGGCAUCUGUGACUGCACCAGCCCCACCCUCAUCUCACUCAAUGCUUUUCAAGUCCUCGGGAGCCCUGAGGGAACCUCUGAGCACCAGACUCUUGCUCAACCAGUAGGACUGGAUUGAAAUGAUAGAAACAGAUGUCCUUUGGAAUGAAUGCUGUAGUGAAUUAUCCAGAAUGCCCCUCAGGAUGGAGGUAUUUAUUCUUCCAGCUCCUGGGCAUGCAGAGCAAGACCCUGUUCUAGGCGCUGGAGCAGAGCUGUAACCAAGAGGAGCAAACUCCAUCCCUCAGGGGAGCUCAUGGUCUAGCAAACAAGCAACAGACAAGUAAAUAAUAUAAGUGUUCUUCUUUACUCCAUCGCGGAGAUCAAUGUAUCAGCUGGGAAUGCGUAAUCCCAGUGGUGCCUGCUUUCUAUUCUGGAACCAAAGAGGGAACAAGGUGAUCAGGGAUGGGGCAUAUUUAAGGGCAUGGAAACCAGUGGUAGGAUCAUGAGUUUAUGGGCACACUUAGUACCAGUCCCUAAGGGGGUAAUUACAGA
Callorhinus ursinus (northern fur seal) is the source of this 540-nucleotide long non-coding RNA. RefSeq lists it as uncharacterized. NCBI's taxonomy places the organism in Eukaryota, Metazoa, Chordata, Mammalia, Carnivora, Otariidae. The record is from RefSeq and is a predicted model, not a curated record.